AUUGAACGCUGGCGGCAUGCCUUACACAUGCAAGUCGAACGGCAGCACGGGAGCAAUCCUGGUGGCGAGUGGCGAACGGGUGAGUAAUAUAUCGGAACGUGCCCAGUCGUGGGGAUAACGUAGCGAAAGCUACGCUAAUACCGCAUACGAUCUACGGAUGAAAGCGGGGGAUCGCAAGACCUCGCGCGAUUGGAGCGGCCGAUAUCAGAUUAGGUAGUUGGUGGGGUUAAAGGGCGUCACCCAAGCCGACGAUCUGUAGCUGGUCUGAGAGGACGACCAGCCACACUGGGACUGAGACACGGCCCAGACUCCUACGGGAGGCAGCAGUGGGGAAUUUU
This 338-nucleotide ribosomal RNA is filed under the name uncultured bacterium. RNAcentral describes it as "bacterial SSU rRNA". It matches the Rfam family "Bacterial small subunit ribosomal RNA", at positions 30 to 365 of the family's 1533-position model. The record is from RNAcentral.